Polypterus senegalus (gray bichir) is the source of this 119-nucleotide long non-coding RNA. RefSeq lists it as uncharacterized. The transcript has 3 exons. The record is from RefSeq and is a predicted model, not a curated record. NCBI's taxonomy places the organism in Eukaryota, Metazoa, Chordata, Cladistia, Polypteriformes, Polypteridae.
CGUCACACACACCAUGCACCACAAGUAGCAUGGUGAAAUAUACUGAUAGAGGGAUUGUAUUAUUGGACCCUACAGAAAGGACACAGUCUGUCACAGCUGUUGAAGAUGACGAUGAAGAA